AUGAACGCUGGCGGCGUGCCUAAUCCAUGCAAGUCGAGCGAACAGACGAGGAGCUUGCUCCUCUGACGUUAGCGGCGGACGGGUGAGUAACACGUGGAUAACCUACCUAUAAGACUGGGAUAACUUCGGGAAACCGGAGCUAAUACCGGAUAAUAUAUUGAACCGCAUGGUUCAAUAGUGAAAGACGGUUUUGCUGUCACUUAUAGAUGGAUCCGCGCCGCAUUAGCUAGUUGGUAAGGUAACGGCUUACCAAGGCAACGAUGCGUAGCCGACCUGAGAGGGUGAUCCGCCACACUGGAACUGAGACACGGUCCAGACUCCUACGGGAGGCAGCAGUAGGGAAUCUUCCGCAAUGGGCGAAAGCCUGACGGAGCAACGCCGCGUGAGUGAUGAAGGUCUUCGGAUCGUAAAACUCUGUUAUUAGGGAAGAACAAAUGUGUAAGUAACUAUGCACGUCUUGACGGUACCUAAUCAGAAAGCCACGGCUAACUACGUG
This 496-nucleotide ribosomal RNA is filed under the name uncultured bacterium. RNAcentral's name for it is "partial 16S ribosomal RNA". It matches the Rfam family "Bacterial small subunit ribosomal RNA", at positions 29 to 507 of the family's 1533-position model. The record is from RNAcentral.